GGAUGUGAGGGCGAUCUGGCUGCAACAUCUGUCACCCCAUUGAUCCCCAGGGUUGAUUCGGCUGAUCUGGCUGAUUAGGGGGGUGUCCCCUUCCUCCCUCACCGCUCCAUGUGCGUCCCUCCUGAAGCUGCAUGCUUGGUGGAAGAGGACGACCAUCCCAGAUAGAAGGAGUGUACCAUUCUUCGGUCAAGGGUAUAUGAUAGCUGCGCUCCCCUGCUAGAACCUCCAAACAAGUUCAAGGUCCAGAUGCUUUUUGGACUCCAUCUCCCAUCAGCCCCAGCAAUUGGGGCCCAUGAU
This is a non-coding RNA of Podarcis lilfordi (Lilford's wall lizard), 297 nucleotides long. Lineage: Eukaryota; Metazoa; Chordata; Lepidosauria; Squamata; Lacertidae. The record is from the annotation of a GenBank genome assembly.